Molecule: ribosomal RNA, 789 nt
Filed under: Triticum aestivum (bread wheat)
Lineage: Eukaryota; Viridiplantae; Streptophyta; Magnoliopsida; Poales; Poaceae
Description: partial small subunit ribosomal RNA
Source: RNAcentral
AUGAAUCCGAAGGAGCUCUUCGAGCUCUUCCUCGGAAAGGAGCGUGGGGAGGCGAUUCAGGAUCUGGAGAUCUCCCAGCGGGCCAAGGGUCCGCUCACACAGGCGGAGGACGCCACGCUGCGGAAAUUCAGCACCGCCGCGGACGUGGCCUACGCCGCGGCCUCUACGCUCUUCACUCUUCCUAUCUGUUUUACCAUAAAUCAAGCACAUAAAUUGGUUGCUCUUCCACCUCCGCAUAGAUUACUGAUGUUGGGAUACUCUGCUGGUGGUGCUUGCGUGAUCGGGAAGUUGGCAUAUUAUCAGUGCCUUUAUGGAUGUGCUAUAGAUAUUUUGAAAAAUGGUGAAGAACGCAUGAAGAUGGAGCUAGCUAACAUGUGUGGAUCAUUAACUAAUGGCGCUUUAUUUACUUUCAUUGCCAGACAAAGAUACUUUAUAUUAAUAAUUUGUUUCAUUUACAAAAUACUUACUAAGCAUAGCAAUGAAAAAAAACUUGUUAAAGCUGUUAAAAAGCACUUCAUAGCUGAGCAUCUGUUCAGUGAUCACCAUCAAGAUGGUCCACUUUUCAGCUGGCGCCAACGCCAUUCAUAUGUGGACAACAGUUUUGUGGAAAGGGAGAAGGAGACUGAAGCAAAUAACUCUACCGGGGCCAGAUCAAUUUCUGGACAGACAAUUGUAGACACUAUUGAAAAGGAUCCAUUGGCUUGUAUUGGCUCUCCAGACAUCAACAAGCUGUCGGUGGACAAAAGCACCAUUCUGACGAGACAACAGCUGCAAGCCCACAGAAGUUAA